AGAGUUUGAUCCUGGCUCAGAACGAACGCUGGCGGCGUGGCUAAGACAUGCAAGUCGCACGGACUAUGCUUAACCGUAUAGUCAGUGGCGAAAGGGUGAGGAAUAGAUAGGUAACGUACCCUGUGCACCGGAAUAGCGUCGUUAGCAGCAAUGCUAACUACCGAAAGGGGCGGUAAUACCGGAUAACGUUGUCGGUCGCAUGACUGACAUCCAAUGGAUUUAUCGGCACAGGAGCGGCCUUUCUCCUAUCAGCUAGUUGGCGAGGUAAUGGCUCACCAAGGCUAUGACGGGUACCGGGAUUGAGAGAUUGACCCGGCACAUCGGAACUGAGACACUGUCCGGACCUCCACGGAGGGCUGCAGUAACGAAUAUUGGGCAAUGGGCGCAAGCCUGACCCAGCGACGCCGCGUGAAGGAUGAAGUCCUUCGGGAUGUAAACUUCUUUUAGGGUGCUGAAA
RNAcentral lists this ribosomal RNA (457 nucleotides) under uncultured bacterium. Its description in RNAcentral is "bacterial SSU rRNA". It matches the Rfam family "Bacterial small subunit ribosomal RNA", at positions 8 to 450 of the family's 1533-position model. The record is from RNAcentral.